GAUGAACGCUGGCGGCGUGCCUAAUACAUGCAAGUCGAGCGAACAGACGAGGAGCUUGCUCCUUUGACGUUAGCGGCGGACGGGUGAGUAACACGUGGAUAACCUACCUAUAAGACUGGGAUAACUUCGGGAAACCGGAGCUAAUACCGGAUAACAUUUUGAACCGCAUGGUUCAACAGUGAAAGACGGUCUUGCUGUCACUUAUAGAUGGAUCCGCGCCGCAUUAGCUAGUUGGUAAGGUAACGGCUUACCAAGGCAACGAUGCAUAGCCGACCUGAGAGGGUGAUCGGCCACACUGGAACUGAGACACGGUCCAGACUCCUACGGGAGGCAGCAGUAGGGAAUCUUCCGCAAUGGGCGAAAGCCUGACGGAGCAACGCCGCGUGAGUGAAGAAGGUCUUCGGAUCGUAAAACUCUGUUAUUAGGGAAGAACAUAUGUGUAAGUAACUAUGCACGUCUUGACGGUACCUAAUCAGAAAGCCACGGCUAACUACGUG
This 497-nucleotide ribosomal RNA is filed under the name uncultured bacterium. RNAcentral's name for it is "partial 16S ribosomal RNA". It matches the Rfam family "Bacterial small subunit ribosomal RNA", at positions 28 to 507 of the family's 1533-position model. The record is from RNAcentral.